GACGAACGCUGGCGGCGUGCUUAACACAUGCAAGUCGAACGGAAAGGCCCUGCUUGCAGGGUACUCGAGUGGCGAACGGGUGAGUAACACGUGGGUGAUCUGCCCUGCACUUCGGGAUAAGCCUGGGAAACUGGGUCUAAUACCGGCUAGGAGCCAUUUUUAGUGUGAUGGUUGGAAAGUUUUUUCGGUGUAGGAUGAGCUCGCGGCCUAUCAGCUUGUUGGUGGGGUAAUGGCCUACCAAGGCGGCGACGGGUAGCCGGCCUGAGAGGGUGGACGGCCACAUUGGGACUGGGAUACGUCCCAGACGCCCACGGGAGGCAGCAGUGGGGAAUAUUGCACAAUUGGCGCAAGCCUGACGCAGCGACGCCGCGGGGGGGAGGACGGCCUUCGGGUUGUAAACUCCUUGCGCUAGGGACGAAGCUUUUUGUGACGGUACCUAGAGAAGAAGCACCGGCUAACGACGUG
This 465-nucleotide ribosomal RNA is filed under the name uncultured bacterium. RNAcentral describes it as "partial 16S ribosomal RNA". It matches the Rfam family "Bacterial small subunit ribosomal RNA", at positions 28 to 507 of the family's 1533-position model. The record is from RNAcentral.